Molecule: long non-coding RNA, 1545 nt
Organism: Mauremys reevesii (Reeves's turtle)
Lineage: Eukaryota; Metazoa; Chordata; Testudines; Geoemydidae
Exons: 2
Source: RefSeq, a predicted model, not a curated record
UAAAGUAGGGGAGUGGGAAACUGGGAAUGAGGACACGCAAGUAUGGCAGCACAACGGGGCCCCAACCGUAAUCAGGCCCCAUUAUGCCAGGUGCUGCCCAGACACAUACCGAGAGACAGUCCCUGCUCACCUGAGAUCAGGGCCCCAUUGUGCCAGGCACUGCCCAGACACAGCCAGAGACAGGCCCUGCCCCAGCUAAGAUCAGGGCCCCAUUGUGCCAGACACACAGCGAGAGACAGUCCCUGCCCCCCUGAGAUCAGGGUCUCUAUCAUGCAGAGCAUACAACUCUGGUUUCCUGAGAACCAGUCGAAUAGUUGUUCUGGGCUGGAUUUCUCUGCCUCAGUUGACUGAUGUCCCCAAUUUACUGCCCUUCACAGUCAAUAUGAUUAGAUCUGACCCACAUUUCUUCUGACUGAAAAUGAAGCAUUCGGCUGUAAGCUCGUUGGGGUGGAGACUGUGCUUUUGGUCUGUGUUUGUACAGCCCUUGGCACAAAGAGGUCCUGAACCACCCCUGGGAUUCCAGGUGCUGUUGCAAUAGAAACAAUGCCACUAAUUACGGAAACGUGAGCUAACGAAGACCAUGUUAGGGUCAGAAAAAAGGAGAGACGACUCCCUUAGUCACACCAUGCAAUGAGGAGAAGGAGAAUGGGAAAGAGAUAGGCUCAUCUCCCAGAGUGGAGGGGCAGAUCCUGCUCUCAGUUACAUCAGUCUCAAUCUAGAGUUACUCCCCUGACUGCAAUGGAUUUACUCGGGUUUUACACUUGUUUGAGAGCAAAAUCUGACCCAGCGAUUCCAGACGCCAUUGCCUUGUCCUGGGGUCCAUAGCCUAGCUCUGUCUCACUCCCUCCCAUGGCGCCCAGCUUUUCUCUGACCUCCUUGUCUGUGCCUUCCAGGUGAGAGGGCACCAAAAGCAGCUCCCAGUGAAGGUAUCCGAAACCUUGUCUGUAAGUGAGUCUCAGGGCACCAUCAUGAUUGUCCAGGGCUCUAGAAUAAAGAUUCUGUUCAGCCUGAGCGGGAAGGUGACGGUGACAGUCAACGAGAGCCUGGCUAACAAGCUGUGUGCACCUUGCGGGAACUUCAAUGGCGACAUCUCCGACGACCUGCGGCUGCCCAGCGGGCAGGUCGUGGGGAACACCACGGACGUGUUUGAAGCUUGGAGGGCACGAGACCUCUCAAAAAGUGAUCUUUAAAAGCCACCUGAGCUGCAAUGGAUCCCGCCCCCUUUCCCUUCCCUGCAUUGGACUGGGCUGGCCAGUUACUCAGUAACAGGUCAUAGCUUAGCACACAAAGGUGUGUUCCUUCAUGCAGGGCUCUCCCUGCAGCGUGGAUGAGUUCAGUGGUGCCGGGUGCAUGACGGAAAAUCUCAUCUGGACUUGUCAAUAGAGACAUUUGCAAAGGUGUGUCUGAAGCAGCCGGCUCUGGCAGGCCUCGGGAACUGGCUUUCGUAUUCCGCUUGGAUCUGACUGUGCUAAGGUCCCUUCACAGCGCCUGUUAAGGCCUCUUUAUGCUGCCAAAGUGGAAUAAAGGAGCCUCAGCAUAAUGCGA